GAUGAAGAACGCAGCGAAAUGCGAUAAGUAGUGUGAAUUGCAGAAUUCAGUGAAUCAUCGAAUCUUUGAACGCACAUUGCGCCCCUUGGUAUCCCGAGGGGCAUGCCUGUUCGAGCGUCAUUUCACCACUCAAGCCUGGCUUGGUGUUGGGCGACGUCCUCUUUGGGGACGCGCCUCGAAACGCUCGGCGGCGUGGCACCGGCUUUAAGCGUAACAGAAUCUUUCGCUUUGGAAGUCGGGGCCCCGUCUGCCGGAAGACCUGCUCGCAAGGUUGACCUCGGAUCAGGCAGGGAUACCCGCUGAACUUAAGCAUAUCAAUAAGCGGAGGA
RNAcentral lists this unclassified non-coding RNA (329 nucleotides) under soil metagenome. Its description in RNAcentral is "partial contains 5.8S ribosomal RNA, internal transcribed spacer 2, and large subunit ribosomal RNA". The stretch from base 1 to 120 matches the Rfam family "5.8S ribosomal RNA", at positions 35 to 154 of the family's 154-position model. The record is from RNAcentral.